This 718-nucleotide ribosomal RNA is filed under the name Haloarcula argentinensis. Its description in RNAcentral is "partial 23S ribosomal RNA". It matches the Rfam family "Archaeal large subunit ribosomal RNA", at positions 2267 to 2987 of the family's 2987-position model. Lineage: Archaea; Methanobacteriati; Methanobacteriota; Halobacteria; Halobacteriales; Haloarculaceae. The record is from RNAcentral.
CAGUGAAAUACUACCCGUCGGUGACUGCGACUCUCACUCCGGGAGGAGGACACCGAUAGCCGGGCAGUUUGACUGGGGCGGUACGCGCUCGAAAAGAUAUCGAGCGCGCCCUAUGGCUAUCUCAGCCGGGACAGAGACCCGGCGAAGAGUGCAAGAGCAAAAGAUAGCUUGACAGUGUUCUUCCCAACGAGGAACGCUGACGCGAAAGCGUGGUCUAGCGAACCAAUUAGCCUGCUUGAUGCGGGCAAUUGAUGACAGAAAAGCUACCCUAGGGAUAACAGAGUCGUCACUCGCAAGAGCACAUAUCGACCGAGUGGCUUGCUACCUCGAUGUCGGUUCCCUCCAUCCUGCCCGUGCAGAAGCGGGCAAGGGUGAGGUUGUUCGCCUAUUAAAGGAGGUCGUGAGCUGGGUUUAGACCGUCGUGAGACAGGUCGGCUGCUAUCUACUGGGUGUGUAAUGGUGUCUGACAAGAACGACCGUAUAGUACGAGAGGAACUACGGUUGGUGGCCACUGGUGUACCGGUUGUUCGAGAGAGCACGUGCCGGGUAGCCACGCCACACGGGGUAAGAGCUGAACGCAUCUAAGCUCGAAACCCACUUGGAAAAGAGACACCGUUGAGGUCCCGCGUACAAGACGCGGUCGAUAGACUCGGGGUGUGCGCGUCGAGGUAACGAGACGUUAAGCCCACGAGCACUAACAGACCAAAGCCAUCAUUCA